GAUGAACGCUGGCGGCGUGCCUAAUACAUGCAAGUCGAGCGAACAGACGAGGAGCUUGCUCCUCUGACGUUAGCGGCGGACGGGUGAGUAACACGUGGAUAACCUACCUAUAAGACUGGGAUAACUUCGGGAAACCGGAGCUAAUACCGGAUAAUAUAUUGAACCGCAUGGUUCAAUAGAGAAAGACGGUUUUGCUGUCACUUAUAGAUGGAUCCGCGCCGCAUUAGCUAGUUGGUAAGGUAACGGCUUACCAAGGCAACGAUGCGUAGCCGACCUGAGAGGGUGAUCGGCCACACUGGAACUGAGACACGGUCCAGACUCCUACGGGAGGCAGCAGUAGGGAAUCUUCCGCAAUGGGCGAAAGCCUGACGGAGCAACGCCGCGUGAGUGAUGAAGGUCUUCGGAUCGUAAAACUCUGUUAUUAGGGAAGAACAAAUGUGUAAGUAACUAUGCACGUCUUGACGGUACCUAAUCAGAAAGCCACGGCUAACUACGU
This 496-nucleotide ribosomal RNA is filed under the name uncultured bacterium. RNAcentral's name for it is "partial 16S ribosomal RNA". It matches the Rfam family "Bacterial small subunit ribosomal RNA", at positions 28 to 506 of the family's 1533-position model. The record is from RNAcentral.